Molecule: long non-coding RNA, 2860 nt
Organism: Myxocyprinus asiaticus (Chinese sucker)
Lineage: Eukaryota; Metazoa; Chordata; Actinopteri; Cypriniformes; Catostomidae
Exons: 3
Source: RefSeq, a predicted model, not a curated record
GGCCUGAAAUGAAAUCCUAAAAGUCUUAAAUUCUGUUUUGAUGAAGAAAAACUCAGAUACAUCUUGGAUGGCCUGAGGAUUGUGAAAAAGAUAAAAGAAGAUUGUUGUAACACUGUCCCAUCUUGAGCUUGCAGUAAACAAACAAAAGGCAUAUUGGAGGGUUGAUCCUGUGAUGCGAGUAGACAUCCACAACACAUGUAAAUGUUGUCACUGAGUCAGGUGUGAUAUUUCAAACCUUCAUCCCACUGACACAAGUCUUCCGAAACCAUUCACCAAAGAGAUUCAUUCAGAUUCGUUCACUGAUGUGUUCAGUAACUAUUUCUGUUGAUAACAUCUUUACACCAGUAUAAUCAGUGUGUUAUGAGUGAAUAUGUUUCAGAACAUCUAUUUUAGUGACAUCUGUUAAGUAACAGGGACUUUUUCUGCAUGCCAUUCCAUCGAAAACUCUAUAAUUUCUGUUAUUAAUAUCUGGUAGCAUGUUGGCGAUUUUGUAGAUUAGUCUGUAUAACAGGGCUAAAGGCACAACUGAAGGAAAAUUUGCUUUUUUUUGGUCUCAAAAUGUAUCAAGAUCGAAAACAUUUAUUUAUUUUUAUUGAAAAUAUUAAUGGAGCAACAUAAUUUGUGUGAACAUAACGGAAGGUUAUUUUGAUUACAGUUUUAAUGGGGGGGUUUAUAGUGAUAACUGGUAGAUAUAGGGGCAAUAGACAUAGACAUAAUUGAACUAAUGCAAAUAAUUUUAAGACAGCAAGAUGCUUUUUGAAUAAUAAAUGAGGAUAAUGCUUACUUAAAAUAACUACUUUAGAAAAGUGUUAACCAUUUUCUAUUAAUUUCAAUCACAUUUGGAAUUUCAUAACAUUGCAAGUUUUCUAUAAACAAAUUAAUCUUCAUUGUGAUUGGACCAGUAAGACCACUUUGAACUUUUUUCAUAACAUAUCUAUUUGCCCCACACUUAAGAAAAACAAUGUGUUUUAUAGGGGCCUUAAGCCCCUGCAACAGUGGGGCUUUUUACCCCAAAUACUGUCCUUCCACUUAUUGGACAGUUAUUGAAUUUUUUUUUUAUUUAAUCACCUUGAAAAAAAAAAAAAAUGUGAUAAUAUCAGGGAUUCUCAUUAGCUACAUAAAUUUGCAACAUUUAAAAAAUUAAUUAAUAUUAGAUCGAUUUGCCUCAAAAUCAACCUUUAGACAUGACAUGCAAAGAUCUCAUGGAUCAGGAAACUUUUGCUGUGCAUAGUGACAAACAGGUUUUUGGGAAAGUGCUGUUGUAGUUUUGUUGCUAUUCAGUGUUUUGGGAGAAGAUAAAAUCAAAUGUGCCUUUUACCCCUGUGGCCUUUAGCCCCACUAAUGUGUGGAACUGUGUUUUAUCUUUAUUGUACAGAACUGCAUAUGAAACUUUACCUGGAAAGGCCAGCAAUGCACUUUUAAUGUGAGCCAACAGACGUACAUAUUUUAAUAUCGGCCUAUAAAACAUUCUGCAUUUCUCAGUGGAUUCUACACGUAAAGAAUUGUUCACCCCAAAAAUUAUAAUUCUCUCAUCAUGUACUCAACCCCUUUGCCGUAUUUGUACACGCACUCUGCACAUCAAGCGCAAGGAAGUGUGAAUGAACUUCUCUCUUCAGCGCACCAAGGAGACUGCAGAUGUAAAGAUUCGUCAUGAAAAAGGAGUUCUCAUCCAAAUACGAUCUAACCGCUUCAGAAGACAUGGAUUAAACCACUCGAGUCGUAUGGAUGCCUUUAUGCUGCCUUUAUGUCCUAUUUGGAGGUUGAGUUUUGACCCCACUGACUUGCAUUUGGACAAUAACACAUUGGCCUAAUAGUCCUAUAUCCUUCAAAAAAUUCUUUGUUUGUGUUCCACUGAAAGAAAGUCAUACGAGUUUACGAUGGUAUAAGGUUGAGUAAAUGAUGAGAGAAUUAACAUUUUGGGGUGAUCUUUUCCUUUAAUCUAAACAUAUCUGUCCUAAACAUGUUGGGGUUUUGGGUCUGGGCAUUUAAUUACUUAUAAACAAUUAGGGUUCCCAUGGUAAUGGAAAAUCUUAAAAUUUCAAUUUAAAAGGAUUUCCAGGCCUACAAAAGCCAUGGAACGACUUUUAUUUCUAUAGUAUAUUUAUUGUUAUUAUUAUUUCACUGGAAAGAAAUUGCUCUUCGUGAUAAUCUAAAACUGUAUUGUGUCUUCGUAGAUCAUAUUUCAUGCUCCACAAAUAAAGCUCCAUUUUCUGAUUUGCACGUUUGGUUAUAAUUUGUUAGCUUGAAUCAGUUUCAUAAUCAUAUUCUGAAAACUAUCUAUGGUCUUUUGCUGUGCUAAUAAAUAAUGUAUACUGUAAUAGGCUGGUAGACGCAGUCAGCGAAAUUAAACACUAGAACUACACUGAAGCAUUCGUUAUUGUCCGGCUAUAUAGCACUGUGAUAACAACUACCACCAUGAUUUACUUAUGUACACAAACUCUAUGGAGACGCGAGACUAAAUGAAAUCGUAAUUAGACAAAACUGAAAGGAAUCAAGCGAGCAUGUAACGCCAAGCGAUAACUUAUUAGUUCAGCACAGCAUAUUGAAGUGUUUACUUCUCUCAUGGUUUAAAAAGGUAGAAUGUUGUUUCUACACGACCCAGUUCAUCCAAUCUAAAUUAUACCAAUGCGUAUAGCUUUAGCGGUUUGAAAUUAGUAUUUUGUUAUUUAUUAUAGAACAUGCCUCAAAUGUUUAGUCGAAAAUUUCAAAUAUUAUAAUAAUCAAAUAUUGUUUGUAAGACUACAUUCGUCAAUUUCAAUUCCAGUCAUUAAAAGAAUGUUAUUAAAAUAUCGAGGUAUCAUGUUAGGUAUGGAAAGAUUUUGCUGUGGUGUGGAUCACCGUGUACUAUAGCGGGUACGGG